UAGGGAAUAUUAGAAAUGGACGAAAGUCUGAUCUAGCAACACCGCGUGUGCGAAGAAGGCCUUCGGGUCGUAAAGCACUUUUUGGAAGGAAUAGGAAGGAAUGUACUUCCAGAAUAAGUCUCGGAUAACUACGUGCCAGCAGCCGCGGUAACACGAAGGAGGCGAACGUUAUCCGGAUUUACGGGGCGUAAAGCGCGUGUAGGUGGUUCGUUAAGUAGGGCGUGAAAGCUCCUGGCUCAACUGGGAGAGGCCGU
RNAcentral lists this ribosomal RNA (254 nucleotides) under uncultured prokaryote. RNAcentral's name for it is "partial 16S ribosomal RNA". It matches the Rfam family "Bacterial small subunit ribosomal RNA", at positions 355 to 626 of the family's 1533-position model. The record is from RNAcentral.